This is an unclassified non-coding RNA of Gorilla gorilla gorilla (western lowland gorilla), 330 nucleotides long. Its record names the gene 7SK. It matches the Rfam family "7SK RNA". From Rfam's summary of the family: 7SK was discovered as an abundant small nuclear RNA in the mid-70s but a possible function has only recently been suggested. Two independent studies have found that 7SK RNA binds the CDK9/cyclin T complex (known as elongation factor P-TEFb). Lineage: Eukaryota; Metazoa; Chordata; Mammalia; Primates; Hominidae. The record is from Ensembl.
GAAUGUGAGGGCGAUCUGGCUGUGACAUCUGUCACCCCAUUAAUCGCCAGGGUUGAUUCGGCUGAUCUGGCUGGCUAAGUGGCUGUCCCCUUCCUCCCUCACCACUCCAUGUUCAUGCCUCCCAAAGCUGUGUUCUCAGUCAAAGAGGACAACCAUCUCCACUAGAAGAGGACCAGUCUUUGGGCAAGGGUAUACGAGUAGCUGCGCUUCCCUGAUGGAACCUCCAGACAAGCUCUCAAGUCCAUUUGUAGGAGAACAUAGGGUAGUCAAGCUUCCAAGAUUCCAGACACAUCCAAAUGAAGUGCUGCAUGUGGCAGUCUGCCUUUCUUU